CCUACGGGGGGCAGCAGUGGGGAAUUUUGCACAAUGGGGGCAACCCUGAUGCAGCGACGCCGCGUGGAUGAUGAAGGCUUUCGAGUUGUAAAGUUCUGUUCUUGGUGAAGAUAGUGACAAGCCAAGCAGCAAGCCCCGGCUAAAUACGUGCCAGCAGCCGCGGUAAUACGUAUGGGGCAAGCGUUGUCCGGAAUUAUUGGGCGUAAAGGGUACGUAGGCGGUUAUUCAAGUCUAUAUUAAAAGGCAUUGGCUUAACCAAUGUAAGGUAUAGAAACUGGGUAACUUGAGUAGAUGAGGGGAAAGUGGAAUUCCUAGUGUAGCGGUGAAAUGCGUAGAUAUUAGGAGGAAUACCAGUGGCGAAGGCGACUUUCUGGAAUCUAACUGACGCUGAGGUACGAAAGCGUGGGGAGCAAACAGGAUUAGAUACCCUGGUAGUC
This 437-nucleotide ribosomal RNA is filed under the name uncultured Helcococcus sp. Its description in RNAcentral is "bacterial SSU rRNA". It matches the Rfam family "Bacterial small subunit ribosomal RNA", at positions 338 to 795 of the family's 1533-position model. Lineage: Bacteria; Bacillati; Bacillota; Tissierellia; Tissierellales; Peptoniphilaceae. The record is from RNAcentral.